Molecule: transfer RNA, 70 nt
Filed under: Chthamalus malayensis
Lineage: Eukaryota; Metazoa; Arthropoda; Thecostraca; Balanomorpha; Chthamalidae
Description: tRNA-Ser
Rfam family: tRNA
About the family: Transfer RNA (tRNA) molecules are approximately 80 nucleotides in length. Their secondary structure includes four short double-helical elements and three loops (D, anti-codon, and T loops).
Source: RNAcentral
AACUGUUUGGCUGACGGGAAAGUAGAUGUUUUGAAAGCAUUUUAUAUAGGUUCGAAUCCUUUAACAGUUU